Patiria miniata (bat star) is the source of this 698-nucleotide long non-coding RNA. RefSeq lists it as uncharacterized. The record is from RefSeq and is a predicted model, not a curated record. The transcript is spliced from 3 exons. NCBI's taxonomy places the organism in Eukaryota, Metazoa, Echinodermata, Asteroidea, Valvatida, Asterinidae.
CAGAGUCCAGCUAGCUCGCGUGUGGUGCAGGUGGUAUGCGGCUGGAGUCCAUGCCUGUUCGUCAAAUUCCUUCAUGCUUUGAAGCCAGUGUUUACAGGCCUCAUUUCUGUUAGGACACCAGGCUUGAAGGCUAGAUGCUGCCCCAGCUCUAUGAUGAGAUAUGACACGCAACACGCCUCAGUUUGUCAAUGCCUAGCCAUGCACUCUCCAAGCCAGUCUCCAGGACCUACUCCACCGGCAGAACCUUCAUCCACACUGCAGUCCAUGUCUGGAACAGUCUCCCAGAUUGUGAAGUGGGAGAGAUGAAAGACAGUGGUGCUCCUUCAAACGUAGGGUGCAUCAACAUCUCCUGUCAACACAUUGAUUUGCUGCAUGCAAGUCCCUACAUCUAUCCAGUUCCUGUUCUGAUGAAGCAGCUUUCCCAGCCCAUAACUCUGUUCAGGUUUGGUGCAUGUAACUCAGCCCUAUCCCCUGUUUCCUUGCUUCAAGGCAGGUAAGUCUUGUUUGGAACUUGUAGUAGAUGGUGAUCUUUCAACUGAAAAUUUACAAGCUUGCCCACAGUCAUAGGAAAAUAACACAUCAUUAUUCGGUAAGACUUAGUUCUCCCGUGGUCUUACAUGUACCAAUAAUGAGCAUUCAACCCCCUCCCCCUCAAAAAAAAAAGUAUUUGUCAUAAAAUUGUAAUACUUUUGCAAAUA